Molecule: long non-coding RNA, 958 nt
Filed under: Equus caballus (horse)
Lineage: Eukaryota; Metazoa; Chordata; Mammalia; Perissodactyla; Equidae
Description: lncRNA (ENSECAG00000048859.1)
Source: RNAcentral
AAAGCUUGUUUGGAGAGAAAGAAGGAAAGACUUUCCUAAUGAGAGUCUUGAUUCUCUGCUUCAGAAUCAUUUCUUCAUCCAGCUGAGCCCUGACUUCUGACAGGCACCUUUCUGUGCCCCUCAGAGAUGGUAGAAAAGCAGAGCUUCAUUCCAGUGAGAAAGAUACUAAAGAAAUGAACAGCUAACAAAUAAACCAGAUAUUGUAACGAGUCUUCAGGAACAGAAUGGACUCCCACCCAAAAAUUGGCUCAAAUGUUGAAAGUGAUGAUGCCACACAGACACCAACAAGACUCCGCGAUGUUAAUGUGUCCGGCCUAGAUUGUCCUCUGGGGGAAGCCUAACCUCACACCCUACCUGCCCCUGUGCAAGCUGUGUGAACUGUAACGCCUUCACGCAUUUAUUUAUCUCUGCGUAUCCUCCCCACCUGACAUCUUGUGUGGAGAGAGACAGACUCCGUAUCAGUGAAGCAACUUACGCAUUCAAUUCUUAGCCCUCAUGCCAGCAGCAGGACCUGGCGUUUCGUGCUCAGCAAUCUUCAGUGGACAGGUGGAUGAUUAGAUGAAAGAAUAAUCUCGGCAUGGUUGUGUGGUUUCCUAGGUGCCUGAAGAGAGACACGCCUUGGUUUAUGUCUGCUCAUGGGGAGCUUUCACAGCGUUAUGCUUCAAGACAACUGAUAGUUCACUAGAUAAUGAUAAUCAAAGCAAGUAAUUAUACCUCACUUACGGUGUGCCAGGUGCUGUUUUAAAUACCUUAUACAUCAUAACUCAUUAAUCCUUAAAACAGCCCCAUGUGAAAGAUACUUUUAUCAUACCUAUAUUACAAAUGAGGUGAUUGAGGCACAGAGGGGUCAGGUUCCUGGUCCAGGCUGACAGAACCAAGAGGGAUGGGCUGGCAUUUGAGCCCAGACAGACUGGCCCUCGGAAACCUUUUCUCUGCGCUGCGCCGCACUGCCGGCUCU